RNAcentral lists this ribosomal RNA (441 nucleotides) under uncultured bacterium. RNAcentral describes it as "partial 16S ribosomal RNA". It matches the Rfam family "Bacterial small subunit ribosomal RNA", at positions 338 to 795 of the family's 1533-position model. The record is from RNAcentral.
CCUACGGGAGGCAGCAGUGGGGAAUAUUGCACAAUGGGGGGAACCCUGAUGCAGCGACGCCGCGUGAAUGAAGAAGUAUUUCGGUGUGUAAAGCUCUGUCAGCAGGGAAGAAGAAAGACGGUACCUGACCAAGAAUCCCCGGCUACUUACGGGCCAGCACCGGCGGUAAUACGUAGGGGGCAAGUGUUAUCCGGAUUUACUGGGUGUAAAGGGGGCGUAGACGGGAGGGAAAGUCUGGAGUGAAAGGCAGGGGCCCAACCCCUGAACUGCACUGGAAACGGUCCGGCUGGAGUGCGGGAGAGGUAAGUGGAAUUCCUGGUGUAGCGGUGAAAUGCGUAGAUAUUAGGAGGAACACCGGUGGCGAAGGCGGCUUACUGGACUGUAACUGACGUUGAGGCUCGAAAGCGUGGGGAGCAAACAGGAUUAGAUACCCCUGUAGUC